Molecule: long non-coding RNA, 487 nt
Organism: Tyto alba (common barn owl)
Lineage: Eukaryota; Metazoa; Chordata; Aves; Strigiformes; Tytonidae
Exons: 6
Source: RefSeq, a predicted model, not a curated record
UGCAGAUCGAGGAGAUGCGCCCCAAAGAGUGACGGAGGAGGUGAGCGGAGGGCUGUGAGAAGAUGGAGAGCCACAAGCAAAGUAGGAUUUUGGCACCGGAGGCAGCUUGGGCAAGGUGGCACGCGAGCCUUGACGUGACAACUGGAAACGGCAGCGGCAGGGCAGGUGAAGGGCCGAGUUUUUUGUAGGUGCCGCAGAUGGCCGCGGAGGGGCCGAGCCGCACGCAGACGGACAGUGUGAGAAGGUGCUUUGGGAGCCGCCUUUGGGAUGGGAUGAGCGUUUGAAGCGAGCCGGGGUAGUCGCAAGGAGGAUCGUGGGUGACUCGUUAGAAGCGCAAGGGUAACUUUGUCUCUCGGUAUCUUAGGUGAAGAGGAAGGCGGCAACUGCAGGAACGUGCUAGUUAGCUGCCGUGCUGCUUUUGUCGAGGAUGGAAUCGGACCUCCGUCCCUCUGAAAGCUAAGUCGAGCGAACGGGGCCGAGAGGAGGG